GAUGAACGCUAGCGGCAGGCUUAAUACAUGCAAGUCGAGGGGCAGCACGAAUAGCAAUAUUUGGUGGCGACCGGCGCACGGGUGCGUAACACGUAUACAACCUACCUAUAACAGGGGGAUAGCCUUUCGAAAGAGAGAUUAAUACCCCGUAAUAAAUUUGAUGGCAUCAUUAGAUUUUGAAAGCUCCGGCGGUUAUAGAUGGGUAUGCGUCUGAUUAGCUAGUUGGUGAGGUAACGGCUCACCAAGGCGACGAUCAGUAGGGGAUCUGAGAGGACUAACCCCCACACUGGUACUGAGACACGGACCAGACUCCUACGGGAGGCAGCAGUAAGGAAUAUUGGUCAAUGGAGGCAACUCUGAACCAGCCAUGCCGCGUGCAGGAUGACGGCCCUAUGGGUUGUAAACUGCUUUUGUACCAGAGAAAACCCCAGUACGUGUACUGGGUUGAUAGUAUGGUAAGAAUAAGCAUCGGCUAACUUCGUGCCAGCAGCCGCCGUAA
RNAcentral lists this ribosomal RNA (499 nucleotides) under uncultured bacterium. RNAcentral's name for it is "partial 16S ribosomal RNA". It matches the Rfam family "Bacterial small subunit ribosomal RNA", at positions 28 to 523 of the family's 1533-position model. The record is from RNAcentral.